This 392-nucleotide ribosomal RNA is filed under the name uncultured bacterium. RNAcentral describes it as "partial 16S ribosomal RNA". It matches the Rfam family "Bacterial small subunit ribosomal RNA", at positions 523 to 918 of the family's 1533-position model. The record is from RNAcentral.
AUACGGAGGAUCCGAGCGUUAUCCGGAUUUAUUGGGUUUAAAGGGUGCGCAGGCGGCCAUUUAAGUCAGCGGUUAAAUCGUGGGGCUCAACCCCAUUCUGCCGUUGAUACUGGGUGGCUUGAUUGCGGUCGAGGUUGGCGGAAUUCCAGGUGUAGGGGUGAAAUCUGUAGAUAUCUGGAAGAACACCGGUGGCGAAGGCGGGCGUCUAGCCAUGUACUGACGCUGAGGCGCGAAGGUGCGGGGAGCGAACAGUUUUAGAUGCCCUGGUAGUGCGCACAGUAAACGAUGUGCACCCGGUGGCGGGGGGUAGCCCUCGGUACCGAAGCCAAAGCAUUAAGUGCACCGCCUGGGGAGUAUGCUCGCAAGGGUGAAACUUAAAGGAAUUGACGGGG